AUUGAACGCUGGCGGCAGGCCUAACACAUGCAAGUCGAACGGUAACAGGAAGCAGCUUGCUGCUUCGCUGACGAGUGGCGGACGGGUGAGUAAUGUCUGGGAAACUGCCUGAUGGAGGGGGAUAACUACUGGAAACGGUAGCUAAUACCGCAUAACGUCGCAAGACCAAGAGGGGGACCUUAGGGCCUCUUGCCAUCGGAUGUGCCCAGAUGGGAUUAGCUAGUAGGUGGGGUAACGGCUCACCUAGGCGACGAUCCCUAGCUGGUCUGAGAGGAUGACCAGCCACACUGGAACUGAGACACGGUCCAGACUCCUACGGGAGGCAGCAGUGGGGAAUAUUGCACAAUGGGCGCAAGCCUGAUGCAGCCAUGCCGCGUGUAUGAAGAAGGCCUUCGGGUUGUAAAGUACUUUCAGCGGGGAGGAAGGGAGUAAAGUUAAUACCUUUGCUCAUUGACGUUACCCGCAGAAGAAGCACCGGCUAACUCCGUG
This 489-nucleotide ribosomal RNA is filed under the name uncultured bacterium. RNAcentral describes it as "partial 16S ribosomal RNA". It matches the Rfam family "Bacterial small subunit ribosomal RNA", at positions 30 to 507 of the family's 1533-position model. The record is from RNAcentral.